Apis cerana (Asiatic honeybee) is the source of this 955-nucleotide long non-coding RNA. RefSeq lists it as uncharacterized. Lineage: Eukaryota; Metazoa; Arthropoda; Insecta; Hymenoptera; Apidae. The record is from RefSeq and is a predicted model, not a curated record.
GACUAUUCGCGAUACGAGAGAGCACGGCACGCGCCGACACUUACAACGUAAUUUCUUAUUCCCGUGGUAGCCGCCUCUCCGUGGCACGCGACCCCCACCGGAUAGCCAUCGAUCUCUCCCCCAAGAACACGUAACUCCAUCGCCUGUCGAUCGCCGUCUCCCUCAAUUUCGAUUGAGGACGCACCUGUCUCCCGUUUCGCUCUCUCUACCUGUCCAGAGAGGAGCAAAUGUUGAUAAUACCAUUCGAUCGAGGGAGAGGAGGGGGCAGAUUCCUGGACGAAUACCGGGCGACUGGAAUACAAAGGAGGGAGAUUCCGCGGCACGCGGAAGCUCGCUAUUAGGUUCUUCUCUUUGGUGGAGUUUCUCUGAAGGAACGAAAGGAUGAGCGACCCGCAACGGGGAAAGGCUCGAAUCGAUCGUUUGCUCUCUCGAUCCCGAUUGUUGGAACGGAUCAAAUUUACCAGGAGGGAUACAAAUGUUCGAAAUCACGAUUUCGAGGGCGAAAAACGAAGGUUGACGUGUAGAAGUCUGCGUGGCGGCGAAAAUCUAGUUUCAGGCCGUGACAAAUAAAUCAGACCUGUUGCGACAUGAUCCUAUUAACGCUAAGUACCGUGAUUUAUCGCGCUAUUUGUAUCGAACAGGCGGAAAGGACGUAGAAAUGUUUUGUUUGCGGCCUCCAUGGGCGAUCCAUUAAACUAUUAACCCGGCUAUCCGCCCAUUUCCCUCGCUCGAGAAUCCUCUACUCGCGAUAUUUUUCAACGUUUUCAGCCUAAGCGGUGCAUCGUUAAACCCAUCGUUCAAAAUUACCCCAACGAUCGAAAAUUGGCUCGAGUUUUUAAACCGGAUUCGGGCGAAAAUUGAAAACGAGAGAGAAAGAGGGAGAGAGCAACGCUCUCCUUUAAGCGUUAAAGUUAAACUCUUGCUUGGAAACAUCGCGAAUUUAUUAUCAACAGUG